GACGAACGCUGGCGGCGUGCUUAACACAUGCAAGUCGAACGGAAAGGCCCUGCUUUUGUGGGGUGCUCGAGUAGCGAACGGGUGAGUAACAAGUGAGUAACCUGCCCUUGACUUUGGGAUAACUUCAGGAAACUGGGGCUAAUACCGGAUAGGAGCUCCUGCUGCAUGGUGGGGGUUGGAAAGUUUCGGCGGUUGGGGAUGGACUCGCGGCUUAUCAGCUUGUUGGUGGGGUAGUGGCUUACCAAGGCUUUGACGGGUAGCCGGCCUGAGAGGGUGACCGGCCACAUUGGGACUGGGAUACGGCCCAGACUCCUACGGGAGGCAGCAGGGGGGAAUAUUGCACAAUGGGCGGAAGCCGGAUGCAGCACCGCCGCGUGCGGGAUGACGGCCUUCGGGUUGUAAACCGCUUUCGCCGGUGACGAAGCGUGAGUGACGGUAAUGGGUAAAGAAGCACCGGCUAACUACGUG
This 468-nucleotide ribosomal RNA is filed under the name uncultured bacterium. RNAcentral's name for it is "partial 16S ribosomal RNA". It matches the Rfam family "Bacterial small subunit ribosomal RNA", at positions 28 to 507 of the family's 1533-position model. The record is from RNAcentral.